CUCGCCACUCCUCCGCGCGUUAUCGCUGCUCAAUGCAUUCCUGACAUCAGCACCAGAGUGCGACUUGUUUGCGUGGAGAUGGGCGAAUGUGUGCCAGGAGUGUCUGAGGUUUUGUGAGAUGAAGGAUGAUAGGCUUUCCAGCACUUGCAUUUGACUUCAUAUGACUAUCUGUAUUUUACUUCAUAUAUAUUUUGUAUUUCUAUAGUUUAAUUAUUCGGUGUAAUGGCCUAUGCUGUGAUGCCGUGUAAAUAUAUUUAAAAUAAAUAAUAAAUA
Cydia strobilella is the source of this 273-nucleotide long non-coding RNA. RefSeq lists it as uncharacterized. The record is from RefSeq and is a predicted model, not a curated record. The transcript has 2 exons. NCBI's taxonomy places the organism in Eukaryota, Metazoa, Arthropoda, Insecta, Lepidoptera, Tortricidae.